This 497-nucleotide ribosomal RNA is filed under the name uncultured bacterium. Its description in RNAcentral is "partial 16S ribosomal RNA". It matches the Rfam family "Bacterial small subunit ribosomal RNA", at positions 30 to 522 of the family's 1533-position model. The record is from RNAcentral.
AUUGAACGCUGGCGGCAUGCUUUACACAUGCAAGUCGAACGGUAACAGGCCGCAAGGUGCUGACGAGUGGCGAACGGGUGAAUAAUGCAUCGGAACGUGCCCAGUCGUGGGGGAUAACGCAGCGAAAGCUGCGCUAAUACCGCAUACGAUCUAUGGAUGAAAGCGGGGGACCGUAAGGCCUCGCGCGAUUGGAGCGGCCGAUGUCGGAUUAGGUAGUUGGUGGGGUAAAGGCUCACCAAGCCAACGAUCUGUAGCUGGUCUGAGAGGACGACCAGCCACACUGGGACUGAGACACGGCCCAGACUCCUACGGGAGGCAGCAGUGGGGAAUUUUGGACAAUGGGCGCAAGCCUGAUCCAGCAAUGCCGCGUGCAGGAAGAAGGCCUUCGGGUUGUAAACUGCUUUUGUACGGAACGAAACGGUCCGGGUUAAUACCCUGGGCUAAUGACGGUACCGUAAGAAUAAGCACCGGCUAACUACGUGCCAGCCGCCGCGUAA